CGAACGCUGGCGGCGUGCUUAACACAUGCAAGUCGAACGCGAAAGGGACUUCGGUCCUGAGUAAAGUGGCGCACGGGUGAGUAACGCGUAGAUAACCUGUCUUCAUGUCUGGAAUAAUACGCCGAAAGGGGUACUAAUACCGGAUAUUCUUGCUUUUCAUAAGUUAUGCAAGCGAAGGUGGCCUCUGCAUAUGCUACUGCAUGAAGAGGGGUCUGCGUACCAUUAGCUAGUAGGUGGGGUAAUGGCCUACCUAGGCGACGAUGGUUAGCGGGUCUGAGAGGAUGAUCCGCCACACUGGCACUGGAACACGGGCCAGACUCCUACGGGAGGCAGCAGUGAGGAAUAUUGCGCAAUGGGGGAAACCCUGACGCAGCGACGCCGCGUGAGUGAGGAAGGCCUUCGGGUCGUAAAGCUCUGUCAAGAGGAAAGAAGUGUACAAUGGCUAAUACCUGUUGUAUUUGACGGUACCUCUAAAGGAAGCACCGGCUAACUCCGUGCCAGCCGCCGC
RNAcentral lists this ribosomal RNA (508 nucleotides) under uncultured bacterium. RNAcentral describes it as "bacterial SSU rRNA". It matches the Rfam family "Bacterial small subunit ribosomal RNA", at positions 30 to 518 of the family's 1533-position model. The record is from RNAcentral.